GUGGGAUAGUCGGAUCGUCAUGCUUGAGUGCAGAACGAUAGGGAACUGAUGGAGAAGGAUCGCUCGUCAAAGAGAGAGGACAGUCUAGAGGGCCAAGAAUAGGAGCGAGGGCUCGUGGUGUGACGAAUAGAGGCAAGAUCAACUCGAGUUGGAUGGAAAAGUCAAUCGACGACGUCCGAUGACAGUAGAGAGACCUACA
This 199-nucleotide long non-coding RNA is filed under the name Elaeis guineensis (African oil palm). RNAcentral's name for it is "long non-coding RNA (EGUI_LNC015684)". Lineage: Eukaryota; Viridiplantae; Streptophyta; Magnoliopsida; Arecales; Arecaceae. The record is from RNAcentral.